UGGUUGCUUAAAACAGCAGGACGGUGGCCAUGGAAGUCGGAAUCCGCUAAGGAGUGUGUAACAACUCACCUGCCGAAGCAACUAGCCCUGAAAAUGGAUGGCGCUAAAGCUUCCUACUUAUACUCUGCCGUUCAGCUAGAGCAAGCCUAUCUGACAAGGCUCUGACAGCUGAACGAGUAGGCAGGUCGCAGCGGUGGCGCAGAAGGCUUUGGGAGUGAUCCUGGCUGGAGCCGCCGUUGGUGCAGAUCUUGGUGGUAGUAGCAAAUACUCCAGAGAGGCCCUGGAGGACCGAUGUGGAGAAGGGUUCAGUGUGAACAGCUGUUGGACACUGGUCAGUCACUCCUAAGGCUUAGGGGAAACCCUAUAAAAUUGUGUGGUGUUUUCAGUUUGACUAGACCACAACUACAGCCGAAAGGGAAUGAGGUUCUUAUUCCUCAACCUGAUAGCGGAACCGAUUCGGCCCUCGUACCGACACGGCAACGUGAAAUGAGCCUGAGACGCCCACCCGAGCUCUGGGAAGAGUUGUCUUUUCUGCAUAAGCCGCUGAGGCCCUGGAAUUCCUUCGAGGAGAGAAUGGGUUUUGGCUAGGCAAAGAGCGUAGCAGUUCUCGCUAUGUCCAUGAGUGCCGGGUGGAACCUUGAAAAUCAGGCUGAGGGUUACAGCGGAGUCGCAUCAGCUCGUACCCAUAUCCGCAGCAGGUCUCCUAGGUGAAAAGCCUCUGGUCGAUAGAAUAAUGUAGGUAAGGGAAGUCGGCAAAUUGGAUCCGUAACUUCGGGAUAAGGAUUGGCUCUGAGGGUCAGGGUGUUUGGGCUUUGAGCUGGAAGCAGGUUGGCCUACCGGUAUGCUUGACCGAACCCUUGGGUGAAGUCGAUCGUAUUCAAAGGCUCCUGUGGAUAGCCAUUGCUUUGCACAGACUGGCAACGGUUUUGUGUUCAAGCAUCAAUCAAUGACUAACUCAGAACUGGCACGGACAAGGGGAAUCCGACUGUCUAAUUAAAACAAAGCAUUGCGAUGGUCAGAGAGUGAUGUUGACGCAAUGUGAUUUCUGCCCAGUGCUCUGAAUGUCAAAGUGAAGAGGUUCGUCCAAGCGCGGGUAAACGGCGGGAGUAACUAUGACUCUCUUAAGGUAGCCAAAUGCCUCGCCAUCUAAUUAGUGGCGCGCAU
RNAcentral lists this ribosomal RNA (1164 nucleotides) under Trichodesmium sp. St18_bin1. Its description in RNAcentral is "partial 23S ribosomal RNA". It matches the Rfam family "Eukaryotic large subunit ribosomal RNA", at positions 1225 to 2316 of the family's 3401-position model. Lineage: Bacteria; Bacillati; Cyanobacteriota; Cyanophyceae; Oscillatoriales; Microcoleaceae. The record is from RNAcentral.